Molecule: ribosomal RNA, 465 nt
Filed under: uncultured bacterium
Lineage: Bacteria
Description: partial 16S ribosomal RNA
Rfam family: Bacterial small subunit ribosomal RNA
Source: RNAcentral
CCUACGGGGGGCAGCAGUAGGGAAUCUUCCACAAUGGACGAAAGUCUGAUGGAGCAACGCCGCGUGAGUGAAGAAGGGUUUCGGCUCGUAAAGCUCUGUUGGUAGUGAAGAAAGAUAGAGGUAGUAACUGGUCUUUAUUUGACGGUAAUUACUUAGAAAGUCACGGCUAACUACGUGCCAGCAGCCGCGGUAAUACGGAGGUGGCAAGCGUUGUCCGGAUUUAUUGGGCGUAAAGAGAGUGCAGGCGGUUCAAUAAGUCUGAUGUGAAAGCCUUCGGCUCAACCGGAGAAUUGCAUCAGAAACUGUUGAGCUUGAGUGCUGGAGAGGGGGGUAGAACUCCAUGUGUAGCGGUGAAAUACGUAGAGAUAUGGAAGAACACCAGUGGCGAAGGCGGCUCUCUGGUCUACAACUGACGCUGAGGCGCGAAAGCAUGGGUAGCGAACAGGAUUAGAUACCCCAGUAGUC